Molecule: long non-coding RNA, 1661 nt
Organism: Monodelphis domestica (gray short-tailed opossum)
Lineage: Eukaryota; Metazoa; Chordata; Mammalia; Didelphimorphia; Didelphidae
Source: Ensembl
CCAGAGGGCGCUGCAUUUCCUGACUGCUGUGGUGAUCAACGCGCAGCUUCCACUCCGCCAUUCACAUAGGAGGAAGAGCCUGGAGGAGAUGGCUGCCCUGAUAGAGAGCUCUCAAGUGAAUGUGGCGGAGGCCAUAGUGGGAGUUCAGGCCACGGGGAAAGGGAAUGCAGAGGUAGUAGUGGAACCCACGGCAAAUGCCGGGAUAGGGUCAGUGGCAGCGGCAGUCACCACUUCUUUCACUGAAGCCGGGGCUAUAGCAAAAGAAGGGGAGGCUUGUGGGGCGGUUCAAACCGUUCCGAAGAUUCUUUUGGCCUGGGUGGAACCCUCAGUUCAAAAAUUGGAAAUGGAGAAACUUGAGAGGCCCAAGGCAGGCCUUUCCAUGAAGCUGGGCAGAGGCGGUGACCCACAGAUCGACAUGUCUCUGGAUGACAUCAUAAAGCUCCAACGCAGGGCACAGGCCCGUAACCAGGCCUAUUAUGAUGGAAGAAGAGACUAUGAUGGAUACAGAUACUAUUACCAAAGAGGAUUUUAUGAAGGACCCCAGCGGAUAAGGAGGUGGUCUGGACGCCAGAAUAAUUACAGAAGAACCAUUCAGAAUUUAUCCAAGCCAAGGACAUAUUCUUCAGGCAACAGGUCAUUCAGCAGAAACAAUGCAGCUUAUGAGGAGGAUGAAGAUGACGAAUCAACAACUAGGCAGUUCCAGAACCAAAAUAACCACUUUGAGAGACGUGGAAGACGACCAACACGUGGACAAGAGAGAAAUCCAUUUUCGAGUGAUGCGAGAAGAGGGAAGAGGCAGGGGCAGCAGAGGGAUGAUGAAGUGACCCAGGUAUCCCCAUCAAAAUCCCACUCAUCUGAGCGGAAAUCGACAAACAAAAGCAGCUUUCCUGGUAGGUACCAAGUCCAACUCAAACCUGGAGCCAUCCUCACAAUUUGUAUUGAAAAUUCUCAAGUGGAUCAAGAUGAUCAAUCGGACAGAAGCAGCGAUGAGGAAAUUUCAGAUGUCAAAGAAAAGCCUACCUUACCCAAGACUGAGAAAUUCGAGCCCAAAGGGAUCGCCUUGAAAUACAAUUUCCGGGCUCUCGGCAAUCAGACUAAAAUAACACUCCAUGAGAGAUUCUCCAUCCUGCAGCGGAUGAGGGGGAGCGUCACCGUUCCCAGAUCUAGGAACAGAACCGUCACCCUGCCCUAGGUGUUCACCAUCACGGCAGGACAGAGCCAGUCGUCUUUCAAUGCAUUUUUCACGACUGGUGUCUCUUCUAAUUGUUUGUUAAUAGAAAGUUUCAGUUCUCACCUAAAAUUGUUAAGCCGUAAUCUCAGUUAUUCAUUCAAAUCAGUUUUGUAGGAAGACCCAGUAUACCCAGAGGGGACAGUCCCUGUGGGCUCUACAUUCAGGCUCCUUUCCCAGAAAAGGGACCAGGUGAGGGAGAAGGGGUGGAGCGUCUGGAUGGUUUCUAGUUGUUACUUCAGCCUUAUAGCAUCAGAGGGCUCUUUCGGGCCAAGUUUACUGAGGAGCUCAGCUCCCAUUCUGCUCCAGCAUUAGUGUAGACUAGUCCCAUGGGCCUGGCCCAACCUCAGCGGGGCUUUGUAAAACAUCCGAGCAUUGGCUGGUAUGUUGUACACGCACUAAAUAAAGACUUUGAAAACAAGGCCUCGACUCA